This 303-nucleotide RNase P RNA is filed under the name Methylotenera sp. RNAcentral's name for it is "RNase P RNA component class A". It matches the Rfam family "Bacterial RNase P class A". From Rfam's summary of the family: Ribonuclease P (RNase P) is a ubiquitous endoribonuclease, found in archaea, bacteria and eukarya as well as chloroplasts and mitochondria. Its best characterised activity is the generation of mature 5'-ends of tRNAs by cleaving the 5'-leader elements of precursor-tRNAs. The record is from RNAcentral. Lineage: Bacteria; Pseudomonadati; Pseudomonadota; Betaproteobacteria; Nitrosomonadales; Methylophilaceae.
GAAGCUGGCUAGACAGUCGCCGUCCAGUGAUGGAGGGAGGAAAGUCCGGGCUGCAAAGAGCGGGAUGACGGUUAACGGCCGUCCGCCGUGAGGCGAGGAAUAGGGCCACAGAGACGAGCGUAUUAAGUUACGGUGAAACGCGGUAACCUCCAUUCGCAGCAAGACCAAAUAGGCUGGCAUUGGCGUGGCUCGCGUCGCCAGCGGGUAGGUUGCUUGAGCGCAUGAGUAAUUGUGCGCCUAGAUGAAUGACUGUCAUGCGUUGUAAAACGUAAACAGAACCCGGCUUAUCGGCCAGCUUCAACU